Molecule: transfer RNA, 69 nt
Filed under: Pseudo-nitzschia pungens
Lineage: Eukaryota; Bacillariophyta; Bacillariophyceae; Bacillariales; Bacillariaceae
Rfam family: tRNA
About the family: Transfer RNA (tRNA) molecules are approximately 80 nucleotides in length.
Source: RNAcentral
GCGUGUAGCUCAGUUGGGAGAGCGUCGCCCUUACAAGGCGAAUGUCGGGAGUUCGAGCCUCUCCACGCC